AAACAAAGGAGUGUGGGAUGCAGAUUCUGCAGCAGGUGGUGCAUGGGUGCAGUGAGAGCAUGCUAGGGACAAUGGCACUGCCAGCUUGCCAGUUCAUGGAAGAACCCGGAAUGGCAGUGCAGAGGCAUUAAUCUAAACAUCCUUCUAACAACAAUAGCAAGUUUGAGGAUAAAGUUCACAUUCCUGGUGCUAUCUACCUCUCCAUCAAAUGUGAC
Molecule: long non-coding RNA, 215 nt
Organism: Melopsittacus undulatus (budgerigar)
Lineage: Eukaryota; Metazoa; Chordata; Aves; Psittaciformes; Psittaculidae
Exons: 3
Source: RefSeq, a predicted model, not a curated record